UGGGAAGGUGAUGUCUUCUGAUGUACAUGAUGUUUACUUCACAGACUAAAAAUUCCAAACUAAAAUCCUAGCCCUAAUUUUUGUUUAAAUUUUAAUCGUUUUUUCAAGGGUUUAGGUUAAUUUAGGGGCAAGGUUGUUUUGAUUUCCGGAAUAAACCAAAGAAUUGAGUUAAUUAAAACCCUACUUUAUAAAAUGAUCGCCUCCAGAAUUCUGCAGCUAUUCAUGAGAUUCAUAAGGUAUAUUCUUGGAAGGAUGCCUAAUUGAUUCAACACGGACCUCUUUGAUUCAACCCUUUCCGCUAUGUCCCGUAAAUUCCUAUUCACCCGUCACUCAAAUCAGCUGAACUCACCAUCUACUUUCAGAUAAUUGAAAUAGCCUUUCAGUUGGUUCUUUUAGUGAUACUUUCUUCUGUAGAAUGAAGGAGUUCAUUGAAAAUGCCCCAGUUUCACUUCCAAUCACCGAGGAAAAUCAGAAAUCACAGAGGCAAAAGCUACGAGAUUCCAGAAUUCUGCAGCUAUGAGAUUCUGAAGGAACAAACAAACUGUUAAACAAGAAAGAUAAUUUGAAUGCACAUGAAUCCCUGGGAUGCAGCAUGUAUCGGGUUGUUACUGCCUAGAGGUACUAUCGUUUAUCACCGUUUUAUCGUGAUAAUGCACAUGAAUCCCCUAGGAUCAAAAUUUAUUCAUGUGUUUCCAUUAAGAGAGAAUUACUAGCAAGAAGGCAAAAGGUGUACCAAAAAUAAGAGGUACCGGAAGCAUUUGAGAGAGCUCUCAGUCUUUGAAAAAAUGGGUUGAUGACUAUAUUAAUACUAACAGAAAUCGGGUUAUGUUCAGAAGCACUGAGGACACUGGCGCAAUGUAUACUAAGGGCUUUUCCAGUAUCACUAUCAACCAAGGGAGUUGGUUGAGCUUGGCCAUACUGACAGAGAUCAAGCUGUGUUCGCUGCUUCUCACCCAACACCCGCUAUAAUAUUCCCUUUUGUAGCAGCAACAUGAUGGCUAGAAUAGUCCAAGCGAGAGAAAUUCUGAUAACCUCAGCAGCGCACUGAUCUUCACAGAAUUGAGGUGUUUGCUUGAGGUCUUCUGCUUGAUGAAGGAGCUCUGUCACUAUAUACUUUAACAUGUUUACAUUUGAAGAGGUUGCUGGCGUAAUUUUUUGCAUAUGAAAGAGAUGUUAUGAGGAUUUCUUUAUUCCCAUAAUCAUUGCUCUGCAGUUCAUUGACUAACUCUACUCAUUGCUUUGAAGAUUGCAUUUUUAGAGCAUUUGUAGCGUUACUCAUUGCUCUGAAGAUUGCAUUUUCAGCGUUACUCAAUGAACUACAAAACAAUGAUUAGGGGAGUAAAGAAAUCUUCAGAGUGGUUUUACUCUGCUUGCCAAAACUGCAAUGAAAGACAUGCAAUAAUCAACAACACACUGUGGUGCUACUCUUGCGAUGAAGAAGUCGAGUUUCCAGAAACCAGGUAAAUAUAUUUCGAAAUAGACAUCUGAAGUGUUAGGAAAACAAAUAUCCCUAUCGGAUUCCUGUCGGGAAAGUUCUCAGGUUAUUCGGCGGUAAGUCUAGCAACGCCUAUCUUUAAAAUACAUCUCAUAUAUUUUCUACAUGUAAAAGUUAGAGCACUAAUACAAAAUUACACAAGUUAAAAGCUACUUCACACCGACUUAUUCUUAUUUGUGUUGUUUAGGAUGUAUUUGUAAGGUUGUUGCUUGCAAGACUAGAGCAG
Papaver somniferum (opium poppy) is the source of this 1721-nucleotide long non-coding RNA. RefSeq lists it as uncharacterized. The transcript is spliced from 9 exons. The record is from RefSeq and is a predicted model, not a curated record. NCBI's taxonomy places the organism in Eukaryota, Viridiplantae, Streptophyta, Magnoliopsida, Ranunculales, Papaveraceae.